This 505-nucleotide ribosomal RNA is filed under the name uncultured bacterium. RNAcentral describes it as "partial 16S ribosomal RNA". It matches the Rfam family "Bacterial small subunit ribosomal RNA", at positions 28 to 507 of the family's 1533-position model. The record is from RNAcentral.
GAUGAACGCUGGCGGCGUGCCUAAUACAUGCAAGUAGAACGCACAGAUUAUACCGUAGCUUGCUACACCAUAGCCUGUGAGUUGCGAAUGAGUGGGUAAUGCCUAAGUUACCUGCCUGGUAGCGCGGGGUAACUCUUGGGCAAGUUAGCUAAUACCUCUUAAUCUUGAUUAUUGAAUGAUAAUUGAUUGAAAUAUGCUAUUUCAUCACUACCAGAUGGCCCUGCGUUGUAUUAGCUAGUAGGGGAGGUAACGGCUCACCUAAGCGACGGUACAUCGCCGACCUGGGAGGGGGAUCCGCCAAACUGGGACUGAGACACGGGCCAGACUCCUACGGGAGGCAGCAGUAGGGAAUCUUCGGCAAUGGACGAAAGGCUGAACGGGCAACGCCGCGGGAGGGAAGAAGGUUUUCGGGUCGUAAAGCUCUUUUUUAAGGGAAGAAAGGGAGUGAGAGUGGAAAGUUCACACUGUGACGGUAUCUUACCAGAAAGGGACGGCUAACUACGUG